This 460-nucleotide ribosomal RNA is filed under the name uncultured bacterium. RNAcentral's name for it is "partial 16S ribosomal RNA". It matches the Rfam family "Bacterial small subunit ribosomal RNA", at positions 338 to 795 of the family's 1533-position model. The record is from RNAcentral.
CCUACGGGUGGCAGCAGUGAGGAAUAUUGGUCAAUGGGCGGAAGCCUGAACCAGCCAAGUCGCGUGAGGGAUUAAGGCCCUGCGGGUCGUAAACCUCUUUUGCCGGGGAGCAGAGGUCCGGACGUGUCCGGGCCGGGAGAGUACCCGGAGGAAAAGCAUCGGCUAACUCCGUGCCAGCAGCCGCGGUAAUACGGAGGAUGCGAGCGUUAUCCGGAUUUAUUGGGUUUAAAGGGUGCGUAGGCGGGCAUUUAAGCCGGCGGUCAAAUGUCGGGGCUCAACCCCGGCCUGCCGUCGGAACUGGGUGCCUUGAGUGGGCGAGAAGUAUGCGGAAUUCGUGGUGUAGCGGUGAAAUGCUUAGAUAUCACGAAGAACCCCGAUUGCGAAGGCAGCCUGCCGCAGCGUUACUGACGCUGAAGCUCGAAAGCGCGGGUAUCGAACAGGAUUAGAUACCCCAGUAGUC